Molecule: ribosomal RNA, 271 nt
Filed under: uncultured bacterium
Lineage: Bacteria
Description: partial 16S ribosomal RNA
Rfam family: Bacterial small subunit ribosomal RNA
Source: RNAcentral
AUUCGUAACUUAGUGGCGGACGGGUGAGUAACGCGUGGGUAACCUGGCCCAUACAGGGGGAUAACACUUAGAAAUAGGUGCUAAUACCGCAUAACAACAGAAAGCGCAUGCUUUUUGUUUGAAAACCAAGGUGGUAUGGGAUGGACCCGCGUCUGAUUAGCUGGUUGGCGGGGUAAAGGCCCACCAAGGCGACGAUCAGUAGCCGGCCUGAGAGGGUGGACCGGCCACAUUGGGACUGAGACACGGCCCAAACUCCUACGGAAGGCAGCAG